Molecule: ribosomal RNA, 1610 nt
Filed under: Triticum aestivum (bread wheat)
Lineage: Eukaryota; Viridiplantae; Streptophyta; Magnoliopsida; Poales; Poaceae
Description: partial small subunit ribosomal RNA
Source: RNAcentral
CGACGGGCUGCGCCGCACCAUCCCCAGCCCGAGCCGCCCCGCGCACUCUCCCUCUCCGCUCGCCUAUUUAUGCCGGCGCCACCGCCCACCGGCUUCCAUCCACCCACCACAACCACAUCCUCACCGGCCUUCCACCGCCGCCUCGCCUCGCCGGAGUACAACCACCGCCACCACCAAGACCAAGAUGGGCUCGCGGUACGAGGUGGAGGUGACCGUGGGCUCCGCCCGCGACCUGAAGAACGUCAACUGGCGCAACGGCGGCCUCAAGCCCUACGCCGUGCUCUGGAUCGACGCCGGCGCGCGCUGCUCCACCCGCGUCGACCUCGACAACGGCGACAACCCCAGCUGGGACGAGAAGGUCGUCGUCCCGCUGCCCCCCGCCAGCCGCCUGGAGGACGCCGUGCUCUACAUCGACGUCGUCCACGCCAACGCCGCCGAGGGUGUCAAGCCGCUCGUCGGCUCGGCACGGCUGCCUCUCCGCGACGUCGUCGACGACGCCGGCGUCGGGGGCAAGGUGUCGAGGAAUUUGAGGCUGAAGCGGCCCUCCGGGCGGCCCCAGGGGAAGCUUGACGUCCGCGUCGCCGUCAAGGAGCCGGCCAGGUACUACGACUCCAACGUCCCUGGUGGCUACCCGGCGCCCGCCGGCUACGGCUCCUCCCGGGAUGCGUACGGUGGUGGGUAUGGUGCCGGAGCUGGCGCGUACGGCGCUGCUGCUGGGGCUGGAGGCUACGGCGCAUACGCGGCCGCGGCGCCUCCGUCGGGGUACCCGGGCUACGGCUCCACCGCGCCGCCUCCCCAGGCUGCCGCAGCACCGUACGGCGCCGCUCCACCGCCCUACGGCGCCGCGCCCCCGACCCAGGGAGCGGGCGGGUACGGCUCCUCUGUUCAGCCGGCAUACGGCGCCGCGCCCCCGACCCAGGGAGCGGGCGGGUACGGCUCCUCUGCUCAGCCGGCGUACGGCGGCGCGCAGCCGGGUCAGGCGGCGGGGUACGGUGGCACGACGGGCGUGGGCCUGGACCAGAGCGGCGGGAAGACGAAGAAGAAGGGGAUGGGGAUGGCUGGCGGGCUGGCGGUGGGCGCGGCGGCGGGCGUGCUGGGCGGGCUGGCGCUGGCGGGCGGGGCGAGCUACGUGGAGCACAAGAUCGAGGACCACGUGACGGAGCGCGUGGAGGAGGACAUGUACCGCGGCGGUGGGUACGACGACUACGGCGGCGACGACGACUACUAGUACUAGAGCAACCAUGGAUCGUCGUUCCCGGGGCCAUGCAUGAAUCGGACCGGACCGGACCGGAGAGUUGAGAAGAAGAGAGGUUAUUCUCUUGUGCGUAUCAUCAAGAGAUGAAACUUAGAUCGUUGAUCUUGCAUACAUCUAGUUUUGUUAAUCUCCAUCCAUGCAUGCAUGCAUGUGGACGAGAAUCGGGUUGAAUGAAUUUCUUUUUGGUGCAACUUGCAAUGGCGGCUUCCUUCCACCACAAAUUAAAGUCUCUUGUUUGUUUGUUUGUUUCUUGCUUGCUUGCAUUCCAUUCUUUGGUGAGACGUGACUUGUGGUGGAAGCCGACAGAUAGAUACUAGGAGUAAAUAGUAUAUGUCCUUAUUUUUAUAGAAUAACC